This is a long non-coding RNA of Erinaceus europaeus (western European hedgehog), 1279 nucleotides long. RefSeq lists it as uncharacterized. The record is from RefSeq and is a predicted model, not a curated record. NCBI's taxonomy places the organism in Eukaryota, Metazoa, Chordata, Mammalia, Eulipotyphla, Erinaceidae. The transcript has 4 exons.
CGCGGGGUCGCCUGGCUGCAGCCGCAGGGGCUGUGCGGGCUGCGACCAGGCUGCGCAUCUUCAGGCCAUUUCGAUAGGAAGCGCACCACUUUGCAUUCCACCUUGCACGCAGUGAACCUCCGGGGCCCCUUUUCCCUCCGUGUCCUCAGCGACGCUUCCCCGUUUUCGCAGGUGUGAGGAGGUGGACGUUGCAAAGGCAGCUUUAACUUGCAUCGUGGUAAUUGGAGCCUGGAUACCCUUCUGAGGAGACCACCACACCACCACUAGCACUUCCCAUAGGCCAUGCCUUCAUGUGUCACACUGGACAGCAGGAUUUCAACAAAGAAAGUUGGAGGUGAGAGGAAGAAGGGCACAGAAUUCAGAGCAUAGCAGUUGGCUUGGUGAACACCAUCCCACUUCCCCCAUGAAGAAUCAAAUAGAUUUAUCCUCUCACACACUGGAGGACUAAGAAUCCCUCCCUUCCUGCUCCUCUGUCACCACAGACCUGCCUUCUGUCACUACAGAUCUGUAUUUCUGAAGAUUCUCUAAGUGGGGAUAGACCACAUAGAUUCUUCUUUGUUGUUGUUCUUUAAUUAACUUUAUUCAGCGUGACUUUGUAGACAUUUACCCACGUUGUGUAUAGACUGAGAAUGACCUCCUUGUACUUGCAUCAAUAUAGUGAGGGUCACGUUCAGCAAAACCCACAACUCACGCCACACUCAAUGGUGAGAAACUGAAGCUUUUCCUCUAAGUUUAAACACAAGACAAGAAUACCCACUCUCAUGAUUAUUCUUCAAGAUAGUGUUGAAAGUCCUAGUCAGAGUAAUUAGACCAUAAAAAGAAAUAAAAGGUCUACAAAUUUGAAACAAAGAAAUAAAACUCUAUUUGCAGAUGACAUGAGAGUCCUAGGUUUCACUAAGAAACUACUAGAAACAAAAUGCCAAUAUAGUAAGGGAUCAAUAUACAAAAAGAAAAAGGGGGGCAGGCUGUAUUUGUAUAUUCAAGCAAUGGAGCAGAGAAGAAGGAAAUCACUUAUGCCACUGGAAGCCAUGAAUCCAAGAGAUCAGACUGCAAUUCUCUUUUUUUCUGACCUGGAUGUCCAGAGUAUGCAAUGGUUAUUCUGCAGGGUGCUAAGUGAAGAAAUACUAGAAGCCACUUGCUAUGUUGAUGUAUUAAUGCUGGCAGAUUGGACCAACUGCCACAAGGAGGAAAGAAAGACAAUGCUAGAAAAAGAAAGAAGGGAGGGAGGGAGGAAGGAAGGAAGGAAGGAAAUGCCAGAGUACUUCCCUGGUGCUGUAUG